This 858-nucleotide ribosomal RNA is filed under the name uncultured bacterium. RNAcentral describes it as "SSU rRNA". It matches the Rfam family "Bacterial small subunit ribosomal RNA", at positions 524 to 1381 of the family's 1533-position model. The record is from RNAcentral.
UACGAAGGGACCUAGCGUAGUUCGGAAUUACUGGGCGUAAAGCGCGCGUAGGCCGUUGAGUUAGUUAAUUGUGAAAUCCCAAAGCUUAACUUUGGAACUGCAAUUAAAACUGCUCGACUAGAGUUUGAUAGAGGAAAGCGGAAUACAUAGUGUAGAGGUGAAAUUCGUAGAUAUUAUGUAGAACACCAGUUGCGAAGGCGGCUUUCUGGAUCAACACUGACGCUGAGGCGCGAAAGUAUGGGUAGCAAAGAGGAUUAGAUACCCUCGUAGUCCAUACCAUAAACGAUGAUUGCUAGAUGUUGGAAAUUUAUUUUCAGUAUCGCAGCUAACGCAUUAAGCAAUCCGCCUGGGGAGUACGACCGCAAGGUUAAAACUCAAAUGAAUUGACGGGGACCCGCACAAGCGGUGGAGCAUGUGGUUUAAUUCGAAGAUACGCGCAGAACCUUACCAACCCUUGACAUGUCUGUCGCGAGUUUAGGAAACUAGACUUUUCGGUUCGGCCGGACAGAACACAGGUGCUGCAUGGCUGUCGUCAGCUCGUGUCGUGAGAUGUUGGGUUAAGUCCCGCAACGAGCGCAACCCCUACUUUUAGUUGCCAUCAGGUCAUGCUGGGCACUCUGAAAGAACUGCCAGUGAUAAGCUGGAGGAAGGUGGGGAUGACGUCAAGUCCUCAUGGCCCUUACGGGUUGGGCUACACACGUGCUACAAUGGUAGUGACAAUGAGACGCAAGGUGGCGACGCUAAGCUAAACUCAAAAAUCUACCUCAGUUCGGAUUGCACUCUGCAACUCGAGUGCAUGAAGCUGGAAUCGCUAGUAAUCGUAGAUCAGCGUGCUACGGUGAAUACGUUCCCGGGUCU